UUUGAAAUACACGCUUUUCAU
Molecule: small nuclear RNA, 21 nt
Filed under: Arabidopsis thaliana (thale cress)
Lineage: Eukaryota; Viridiplantae; Streptophyta; Magnoliopsida; Brassicales; Brassicaceae
Description: snRNA_00531
Source: RNAcentral